CAGUCGCCAGCUUGGCUCUAAUGAUUAUUCGCCAUUCUCUGGCCCUCCACGUGAUAAUCUGACUUACCAUUCUGAUUUGGGUCUGAUUGUGUCUGUCUGACUCUUUACAAUCCUUACGAGUCACUCUCUUCUUAUUUUGUGUGUGUACACUCCCAGAAACCACACGUUGUCUCUGAAUACAAUAUUCAUUCAUCCAUCAGCCUACAGUCAGGCCACGAGAAAUUUAAUUCAAGGGUUCCAUCAAGGGAACAU
This 252-nucleotide long non-coding RNA is filed under the name Daphnia pulicaria. RNAcentral's name for it is "uncharacterized LOC124312319". Lineage: Eukaryota; Metazoa; Arthropoda; Branchiopoda; Diplostraca; Daphniidae. The record is from RNAcentral.